GGUUAAGCGACUAAGCGUACACGGUGGAUGCCCUGGCAGUCAGAGGCGAUGAAGGACGUGCUAAUCUGCGAUAAGCGUCGGUAAGGUGAUAUGAACCGUUAUAACCGGCGAUUUCCGAAUGGGGAAACCCAGUGUGUUUCGACACACUAUCAUUAACUGAAUCCAUAGGUUAAUGAGGCGAACCGGGGGAACUGAAACAUCUAAGUACCCCGAGGAAAAGAAAUCAACCGAGAUUCCCCCAGUAGCGGCGAGCGAACGGGGAGCAGCCCAGAGCCUGAAUCAGUGUGUGUGUUAGUGGAAGCGUCUGGAAAGGCGCGCGAUACAGGGUGACAGCCCCGUACACAAAAAUGCACAUACUGUGAGCUCGAUGAGUAGGGCGGGACACGUGGUAUCCUGUCUGAAUAUGGGGGGACCAUCCUCCAAGGCUAAAUACUCCUGACUGACCGAUAGUGAACCAGUACCGUGAGGGAAAGGCGAAAAGAACCCCGGCGAGGGGAGUGAAAAAGAACCUGAAACCGUGUACGUACAAGCAGUGGGAGCACAGAGCAAUCUGUGUGACUGCGUACCUUUUGUAUAAUGGGUCAGCGACUUAUAUUCUGUAGCAAGGUUAACCGAAUAGGGGAGCCGAAGGGAAACCGAGUCUUAACUGGGCGUUAAGUUGCAGGGUAUAGACCCGAAACCCGGUGAUCUAGCCAUGGGCAGGUUGAAGGUUGGGUAACACUAACUGGAGGACCGAACCGACUAAUGUUGAAAAAUUAGCGGAUGACUUGUGGCUGGGGGUGAAAGGCCAAUCAAACCGGGAGAUAGCUGGUUCUCCCCGAAAGCUAUUUAGGUAGCGCCUCGUGAAUUCAUCUCCGGGGGUAGAGCACUGUUUCGGCAAGGGGGUCAUCCCGACUUACCAACCCGAUGCAAACUGCGAAUACCGGAGAAUGUUAUCACGGGAGACACACGGCGGGUGCUAACGUCCGUCGUGAAGAGGGAAACAACCCAGACCGCCAGCUAAGGUCCCAAAGUCAUGGUUAAGUGGGAAACGAUGUGGGAAGGCCCAGACAGCCAGGAUGUUGGCUUAGAAGCAGCCAUCAUUUAAAGAAAGCGUAAUAGCUCACUGGUCGAGUCGGCCUGCGCGGAAGAUGUAACGGGGCUAAACCAUGCACCGAAGCUGCGGCAGCGACGCUUAUGCGUUGUUGGGUAGGGGAGCGUUCUGUAAGCCUGUGAAGGUGUACUGUGAGGUAUGCUGGAGGUAUCAGAAGUGCGAAUGCUGACAUAAGUAACGAUAAAGCGGGUGAAAAGCCCGCUCGCCGGAAGACCAAGGGUUCCUGUCCAACGUUAAUCGGGGCAGGGUGAGUCGACCCCUAAGGCGAGGCCGAAAGGCGUAGUCGAUGGGAAACAGGUUAAUAUUCCUGUACUUGGUGUUACUGCGAAGGGGGGACGGAGAAGGCUAUGUUGGCCGGGCGACGGUUGUCCCGGUUUAAGCGUGUAGGCUGGUUUUCCAGGCAAAUCCGGAAAAUCAAGGCUGAGGCGUGAUGACGAGGCACUACGGUGCUGAAGCAACAAAUGCCCUGCUUCCAGGAAAAGCCUCUAAGCAUCAGGUAACAUCAAAUCGUACCCCAAACCGACACAGGUGGUCAGGUAGAGAAUACCAAGGCGCUUGAGAGAACUCGGGUGAAGGAACUAGGCAAAAUGGUGCCGUAACUUCGGGAGAAGGCACGCUGAUAUGUAGGUGAAGUCCCUCGCGGAUGGAGCUGAAAUCAGUCGAAGAUACCAGCUGGCUGCAACUGUUUAUUAAAAACACAGCACUGUGCAAACACGAAAGUGGACGUAUACGGUGUGACGCCUGCCCGGUGCCGGAAGGUUAAUUGAUGGGGUUAGCGCAAGCGAAGCUCUUGAUCGAAGCCCCGGUAAACGGCGGCCGUAACUAUAACGGUCCUAAGGUAGCGAAAUUCCUUGUCGGGUAAGUUCCGACCUGCACGAAUGGCGUAAUGAUGGCCAGGCUGUCUCCACCCGAGACUCAGUGAAAUUGAACUCGCUGUGAAGAUGCAGUGUACCCGCGGCAAGACGGAAAGACCCCGUGAACCUUUACUAUAGCUUGACACUGAACAUUGAGCCUUGAUGUGUAGGAUAGGUGGGAGGCUUUGAAGUGUGGACGCCAGUCUGCAUGGAGCCGACCUUGAAAUACCACCCUUUAAUGUUUGAUGUUCUAACGUGGACCCGUAAUCCGGGUUGCGGACAGUGUCUGGUGGGUAGUUUGACUGGGGCGGUCUCCUCCUAAAGAGUAACGGAGGAGCACGAAGGUUGGCUAAUCCUGGUCGGACAUCAGGAGGUUAGUGCAAUGGCAUAAGCCAGCUUGACUGCGAGCGUGACGGCGCGAGCAGGUGCGAAAGCAGGUCAUAGUGAUCCGGUGGUUCUGAAUGGAAGGGCCAUCGCUCAACGGAUAAAAGGUACUCCGGGGAUAACAGGCUGAUACCGCCCAAGAGUUCAUAUCGACGGCGGUGUUUGGCACCUCGAUGUCGGCUCAUCACAUCCUGGGGCUGAAGUAGGUCCCAAGGGUAUGGCUGUUCGCCAUUUAAAGUGGUACGCGAGCUGGGUUUAGAACGUCGUGAGACAGUUCGGUCCCUAUCUGCCGUGGGCGCUGGAGAAUUGAGGGGGGCUGCUCCUAGUACGAGAGGACCGGAGUGGACGCAUCACUGGUGUUCGGGUUGUCAUGCCAAUGGCACUGCCCGGUAGCUAAAUGCGGAAGAGAUAAGUGCUGAAAGCAUCUAAGCACGAAACUUGCCCCGAGAUGAGUUCUCCCUGACUCCUUGAGAGUCCUGAAGGAACGUUGAAGACGACGACGUUGAUAGGCCGGGUGUGUAAGCGCAGCGAUGCGUUGAGCUAACCGGUACUAAUGAACCGUGAGGCUUAACCUU
Molecule: ribosomal RNA, 2906 nt
Filed under: Escherichia coli
Lineage: Bacteria; Pseudomonadati; Pseudomonadota; Gammaproteobacteria; Enterobacterales; Enterobacteriaceae
Description: 23S ribosomal RNA
Rfam family: Bacterial large subunit ribosomal RNA
Source: RNAcentral